RNAcentral lists this ribosomal RNA (253 nucleotides) under uncultured bacterium. Its description in RNAcentral is "partial 16S ribosomal RNA". It matches the Rfam family "Bacterial small subunit ribosomal RNA", at positions 524 to 776 of the family's 1533-position model. The record is from RNAcentral.
UACGGAGGGCGCAAGCGUUGUUCGGAAUCACUGGGCGUAAAGCGCGUGUAGGCGGCUUGGUAAGUCGGGUGUGAAAGCCCGGGGCCUAACCCCGGAACUGCACUCGAAACUGCCUCGCUCGAGUCCCGGAGAGGAUGGUGGAAUUCCCGGUGUAGUGGUGAAAUACGUAGAUAUCGGGAGGAACACCAGCGGCGAAGGCGGCCAUCUGGACGGUGACUGACGCUGAGAAGCGAAAGCGUGGGGAGCAAACAGG